Molecule: RNA transcript, 4377 nt
Organism: Triticum aestivum (bread wheat)
Lineage: Eukaryota; Viridiplantae; Streptophyta; Magnoliopsida; Poales; Poaceae
Gene name: putative disease resistance protein RGA3
Exons: 8
Source: RefSeq, a predicted model, not a curated record
AUGAGCCAAAAGGAAGUGAGGGAAGAUAGGAGGAGCAAAGGGAAGGAGGAGCAAAUGAAGAUAUACCUAGAUCUUCAAACAAAAAACAUUGACAUGAAAGAGGCUGUGAAGAGGAGGAAGCUUGACAUCGAGGAGGCCGCUCAACUCAAGAAGCUUGAGAUUGAGGCCACCAAUGCCGAGACCAAAGCCAAGGAGGUGGCACUCGCGUUCAUGAGCGUCGACAAGAACAACAUUGGCAUGUACCAGGAUAGAGAUGGCAACCUCACGCAGCAUUGUGCUAGACCGCAAGUACUAGGACCAUUGCUGACUGCCGGAUAUAGAUCGCCAGAUCUAGACCAAGGGGUCUCGCUUUCUGCUCACUGUUACUUCUAUCAUCUCUCCAAUCGAUCCAAGUUCCAGCUCAAGCCACUGGACCCUGCAACUACUUGCGAGACAGCACGGGAUAUCUAUCUCUGCAACAAGAUCCGUCUCUCAUCUCUCUAGUCGAUUCAAGUACCAGCUCAAUCGAGAGCGUACCCUGCAACCAAUGGCGGGGGUUCUGGAUGCUUUGGCGUCCUACGUGACCAAGAUGCUUGCCGACAUGGCCAGAGAAGAGGUGGCCAUUCUAAUCGGCGUGUCUGACGGGAUCAAAGACCUGAGCAUCAAGCUUGGGGACCUCAAGAAUUUCUUUGCUGAUGCUGAUCGGAGGAACAUCACCGAUGAGAGUGUACAGGGGUGGGUGGGGGAACUGAAGCGUGCCAUGUACCUGGCCACCGACAUCCUCGACCUAUGUCAGCUCAAGGCCAUGGAGAAAGGUCAAACAAAGGACAGGGGGUGCCUUAACCCUCUGCUUUUUUGCAUGCGGAAUCCCCUCCACGCCCACGACAUCCGCAUCAAGCUGCUCAACCAAAAUUUGGAUGAUAUUUGCAAGAGGGGCAGCAGUUUCAAUUUCAUCAAGCUAGAAGCCUACCAAGACCAAAAGACCACUCGGUCUCCUGCCAUUGACCGCAAAACAGAUUCACUGAUAGAGCGGUCCGGUGUGGUUGGAGAGAAGAUCGAGGAGGACACGAGGGCACUUGUGGAGGUGCUUACAAGGGAGGUGGUAGGUGACAAGAGUGGUCACCUCAUCGUGGUCGCCAUUGUCGGUAUCGGAGGGAUUGGUAAGACUACCCUCGGCAAGAAGGUCUUCAAUGAUGAGGCCAUCGAAGGGAAGUUUACUAAGAAGAUAUGGCUUAGCAUCACACAAGAUUUCACCGAUGUUGAGUUGUUAAGUACGACCAUCACUGCCAUUGGGGCAGAUCUGCCUAGAGGGGGUGGGGCUCAAGACAAGGCCCUACUCGUCGAUGCUCUCAAGAACGCCAUCAAGGACAAGAAGUUCUUUCUUGUACUAGAUGACAUGUGGGAUGUCGAUGCAUGGAACAAACAUCUAAUGACUCCCUUUAGCUAUGGUGGCCCCGGUAGUAGAGUCCUCAUCACCACCAGACAUGACACUGUAGCCCGAAGCAUGAAAGCCUUUCAUCCGUACCAUCAUGUUGACAAAUUAGCUUCACAAGAUGCUUGGUCAUUGCUCAAGAAGCAGGUACUCACAUCAGAGGAAAAUGAACAAGAAGUUGAUAUGCUAGAAGAUAUUGGGUUUCAGAUUCUAGCAAAAUGCGAUGGUUUACCACUUGCUAUAAAAGUUAUGGGUGGACUCUUAUGCAAGAAGGAGAAAACACGACGUGAUUGGCAAGAUGUCCUGAAUGAUGAUAUCUGGUCAGUAUCUCAAAUGUCAAAGGAACUAAAUUAUGCCAUAUAUCUUAGCUAUCAGGACUUAUCACCGUACAUAAAACAGUGCUUCUUGCACUUCUCCCUCAAACCAAAAAAGACAGUGAUAAAUGAUACUGAAAUUGUGUCCAUGUGGGUUGGUGAAGGAUUGGUUGAAGGAGACACAUAUAGUCGUAAUUUGGAAGAAGGGAAUAAGUACUACAAGGAGCUAAUAGUAAGGAACCUUAUAGAGGUAGAUACAGAUUGCCCUAGUCAACUUUUUUGCAACAUGCAUGAUGUUAUUCGCUCAUUUGCUCAAUUUGUGGCUAGGGAUGAAACACUAGUAGGUCACAAUGGAGAUACUAUCAAAACAAAUCUUAGAUCACCGAAUUAUCUUAGAUUAUCCAUAGAAACGAAAGGAGUGGGAUCCGAUGAAUUUGAGUGGAGAUAUUUAAGAGAGCAAAAAUUGCUUAGAUCACUAAUAUUAACUGGAAACCUCAAAAGUCAGCCUGGGGAUUCUUUGACUAUCUUCCCAAGUCUACGUCUUUUGCAUAUAGAUUCUGCAAAUAUUGCUGCACUAGUUGAAUCUAUAUACCAACUCAAGCAUUUGAGAUAUUUGGCAUUAAAGAGGACUGAUAUGUGUAGACUACCAGAGAACAUCCAUGAGAUGAAAUUCCUACAACAUAUUAGCCUUGAUGGUUGUGAAAGUUUCAGGAAACUUCCUGAUAGCAUUAUCAAGCUGCAAGGGUUGAGAUAUCUUGAUAUUGAUGACACACGUAUAUGUAGUAUUCCUAGGGGUUUCCGAGCUCUUACAAAUUUGAGUGCACUAUAUGGGUUUCCAGCCUAUACUGAUGGUGACUGGUGUAGUUUGGAAGAGUUGGGGUCUCUUUCCCAGCUCAAUGAACUUUCACUAGAGAGCCUAGAAAAUGUAUCUAGUGCCUUGUUGGCUGCAAAGGCAAGGAUAAAUGCAAAGAAACAACUUACCUAUCUUUGUUUGAGAUGUGGUGGUAGAGUGGGAGAUGGGUUGGUCCAAGGAGAAGUCUCUGAGUCUAAGGAGGAGGAGCAAAUAAUUGAGGCGGUGUUUGAUGUGCUAUGUCCUCAGCCUUGCAUAGAACACAUCAUAAUAAAAAGAUAUUUUGGCCGCCGGCUCCCAGGAUGGAUGGCGUCCACAGCUAUGGCGCCUCUCGAGAGCUUGAAGAUUCUAGUCCUCGAAGACCUGCCCUGCUGCACCCAACUCCCAGAUGGCUUGUGUAGGCUCCCGUAUUUGGAGUGGAUAAUGGUGGACGGGGCUCCAGUAAUCAAGUGUAUUGGUCCUGAAUUUGUUCAACAGUACAAUCAACUGCACCGUCCUUCAUCUCAGUUGGCUGCUACGUUUCCUAAACUCCAGCAGUUGCAUUUUGACGGAAUGGAGGAAUGGGAGGAGUGGGUUUGGGAGACGGAAGUGAAAGCUAUGCCCUUAUUGGAGGAACUUCGUAUCAGUGAUUGCAAACUGGGUCGUAUGCCUCCAGGACUAAUGUCUCAUGCAAUGGCUUUGAAGAGGAUAGAAAUAUGGAACGUCAAAGGUUUGCACUCCCUAGAGAACUUUCUUUCUGUAGUUGAGCUCGACUUGGGAAACAUAGACGAACUGGCCAUGAUAUCCAAUCUUCCAAAAUUACAAAAGCUUGGAAUUAGUUACUGCAGAAAGCUCAAGACACUGAAGGACAUGGAUGCACUCCGGAGACUCCAUGUGAGAGUUUCCCGCUGGGAAAAUCAACUUCCGGUCUACCUGCAGACUGUAAAGCCAAGUCAUUUGCUGCUGACCAGCAACCUAGAAGUACUCACUUCCAUGGCUGAGGGUGAAUCAAGCUCCGAGUGGGACAAGUUCAGUCAUAUCAAGCAAGUCGAGGCUUAUGCAGAGGAAGGAGGAGAUGAGAAGAAAUGGCACGUGUUCCACACAUCUGAAUCUUGCAACAUACAGACAAAUAUUCAUCAGGAUCGAUUUGUUGAAUAGGAGGACUAGGCUGAAACUCCAGCGGAACGAGGAAGGGUAUAUCAUUUCAAGUGAAUGCACCGUAUGAUGCAAGGAUAUAUGGAUACGAGGAAAGCAUCAGCCAUAAUGCCAUAUACACUUACCUGCAGAGAUUCAGACACCAUACAAAUUUCUUGCUAAGUGUGACAUAUACAGUUACCAAUUUAUAGAUGUAAACUUCUUGCUAAAUUUCUUGGCGGACUAUGUAGCUGGUGAAGAAACAUGGUGAUCUUGGGCAAGUCUGUCGUUUGUGCAGUGCAAGCAACUAAUGGAGUUUAUGCUACUCUGCGCUGCUCUGCUCUGUUCUCUGAAAGCAGCUCAGGUUGCAGCUUCUCCAUAGUGGCAUUUUUCUUUUUCUUUUUCACGGGUGUUUUGUAUUGGUUCUCUGAAAAACUAUGUUUUUUUUGAUAGAUCAGUCAAUAGUAUACUGGUAUUUCAGCUUUUAAUUUGUACUGCAACAACACAAAUGACUGUCAGAGAGUGUAGUUCAUUCAAGCUCCCGGCUGCUAAAUUGUAACUGUAUGUCAUAGGAAUUGGGAGUGAUGUAUACUGGACCAAACAAAUGGUGGUGAGAUCCUGCUGUCAGUAUGGUCUAGCAAUCUGUUGUUUCUUCGAUCAGUGCAAUCAGAUUAAGUUCAGGUUUGUUC